Molecule: ribosomal RNA, 345 nt
Filed under: uncultured bacterium
Lineage: Bacteria
Description: bacterial SSU rRNA
Rfam family: Bacterial small subunit ribosomal RNA
Source: RNAcentral
AUCUGCCCAGUAGUGGGGGAUAACGUGUGGAAACGCACGCUAAUACCGCAUACGUCCUACGGGAGAAAGCAGGGGAUCUUCGGACCUUGCGCUAUUGGAUGAGCCCAAGUCAGAUUAGCUAGUUGGUGGGGUAAUGGCUCACCAAGGCGACGAUCUGUAGCUGGUCUGAGAGGAUGAUCAGCCACACUGGGACUGAGACACGGCCCAGACUCCUACGGGAGGCAGCAGUGGGGAAUAUUGCACAAUGGGCGAAAGCCUGAUGCAGCCAUGCCGCGUGUGUGAAGAAGGCUCUAGGGUUGUAAAGCACUUUCAGUGGGGAGGAAAAGUUUAAGAUUAAUACUCUUG